RNAcentral lists this ribosomal RNA (250 nucleotides) under uncultured bacterium. Its description in RNAcentral is "partial 16S ribosomal RNA". It matches the Rfam family "Bacterial small subunit ribosomal RNA", at positions 524 to 773 of the family's 1533-position model. The record is from RNAcentral.
UACGUAGGGGGCGAGCGUUGUCCGGAAUCAUUGGGCGUAAAGCGCGUGUAGGCGGCUUGGUAAGUCUGGUGUGAAAUCCUGGGGCUUAACCCCAGACCUGCACUGGAUACUGCCAAGCUUGAGUCCGGGAGGGGAGAGCGGAAUUCCUAGUGUAGCGGUGAAAUGCGCAGAUAUUAGGAAGAACACCGGUGGCGAAGGCGGCUCUCUGGAACGGUACUGACGCUGAGACGCGAAAGCGUGGGGAGCGAAC